Molecule: long non-coding RNA, 1025 nt
Filed under: Capra hircus (goat)
Lineage: Eukaryota; Metazoa; Chordata; Mammalia; Artiodactyla; Bovidae
Description: lncRNA (ENSCHIG00000006397.1)
Source: RNAcentral
AUCUGGUUCCCAGCAGGGCACAGAGCUAAUGCAGCUGAAAAAGCAUACAGCUGUGACUCCAGGCAUCUUGUGAAUGACCAGGCCUGGCUUGGGCUUCCUGCCUAAGUUCAAAGCAUGGGUUUUCAUCUGGGAGUCAGGUUGCGGUAGGAGGUGGGAGGAAAUAAGUGAAUGGCUCGGAGUAUCUUUUCAAACCACGCAUUCCUCAGGCCCUACUCUGGAUCUAUUGAAUCAGAAUUUCUGGUACUGGGAUUGAGAAUGAGUGUGGGAGUCCAGUGUGUCUUUUGAAUUAGGAGGUAAUUGGAGAAUCGGGGAGUUUUAGGGAAGAGGUAAGGAAUGUUUGCUUGUGAGACUAAGGAGUGGAUAGAGAGGUACAGACCAGAGCUAUAGAGACUGAGGGUCAAGAGGAGGUGAGAGGGAGAAAGGCAGGAGCAAGGUGGAUUAAAGGGAACCAGAGGAGACACCCUCCAUUCCCUGGAAGAAAAAAGGCAUGAAAAGAUAUGGAUGUAAAUGAGCCUGAAACUGGAGGGAGUGCAGACAGCCUGAGGUCGGGACUGAGGAUUGCCAUUUUCUCUCUGGAGUGGACUGUAAGGCAUGGUUGGCUGCAGAGAGAGGAGAGGGAGGUUCCGAGAGGCAAAGUAAUUUCUUGGAGCUUCUACAAGGGCCACAUUCCAAUUGGCUUGAAGAGGAACAUGCACGUUGAAAGGCAACACUGAGAGCGUUGAGGUCAGGUCAACAGGGGAAGAAAGAUUUCACCAUCAUGGUAAUAUCAAAAGAGUGCCUUAAAAUGAAAAAAUGAUCCUUGUUUACUUUUCUGGAAAGAAAGCUGUUGGAUACUAUUGACAAGGAGUGUUAUGCCCGUGACUACAUGAUGUGCCAUUCUUGUCAAGCCAUGAGAAGUGUCCAAAAAAGAGAAAAAGAAACUCUUAAUCAUUUGGAUCUAUCCUAAAACCUCCAAAUGUAACCUAGGAGAUGCAGUUAUUUUGUUUUUUGUUUCUUCAUGUAAUGCCAUUUUGGUAUCCAUCCUC